CUCUUCCGAUCUGGAAUGCCUAGGCUCUCAGAGGCGAAGAAAGACGUGAUAAGCUGCGAUAAGCUUGGGGGAGUGGCAAAUACAUUUUGAUCCCAAGAUUUCUGAAUGGGGAAACCUAGCUGGUUGAAGACCAGUUACACCUUCGGGUGGGCGAACGCGCUGAACUGAAACAUCUAAGUAGGCGCAGGAGAAGAAAACAAUAGUGAUUUCCGGAGUAGCGGCGAGCGAAAUGGAAUUAGCCCAAACCAAGAUUGUUUCGGCAAUUUUGGGGUUGUAGGACUGAAACAUUUGUUUAAGUUUAUAGUAAAAUCAGUUGGAAAGCUGAGCAAUAGGAGUGAUAGCCUCGUAUACAAAAUAGACUUGAAUGAUAUCAGUAUCCUGAGUAGGGCGGGACAUGUGAAAUCCUGUCUGAAUCUGUCAGAACCAUCUGAUAAGGCUAAAUACUCCUGAGAGACCGAUAGCGAACGAGUACCGUGAGGGAAAGGUGAAAAGAACCCUGAAUAAGGGAGUGAAAAAGAUCCUGAAACCGUGUGUCUACAAGCGGUCGAAGCCUACGGGCGACGGCGUGCCUUUUGCAUAAUGAUCCUACGAGUUACUCCUCAUUGGCAAGGUUAAGUAUUUCAGAUACGAAGCCGAAGCGAAAGCGAGUCUUAAUAGGGCGACAUAGUCAGUGGGGGUAGACGCGAAACCUUGUGAUCUACCCAUGACCAGGUUGAAGUUCCAGUAACAUGGAAUGGAGGACCGAACCAAUAUACGUUGAAAAGUGUUUGGAUGAGUUGUGGGUAGGGGUGAAAGGCCAAUCAAACUGGGAAAUAGCUCGUACUCCCCGAAAUGCAUUUAGGUGCAGCGUUCAGGUAGAGUUUUAUAGAGGUAGAGCUACUGAUAGGGCUAGGGGGCUUCACCGCCUACCAAACCCUGACAAACUCCGAAUGCUAUAAAAUAUACUGAGCAGUGAGGGCAUGGGUGCUAAGGUCCAUGUCCGAGAGGGAAAGAACCCAGACCAUCGGCUAAGGUCCCAAAAUAUACACUAAGUUGAUCAAACGUUGUGCGAUUGCAUAGACAGCUAGGAUGUUGGCUUGGAAGCAGCCAUUCAUUUAAAGAGUGCGUAACAGCUCACUAGUCGAGCGAUCGUGCGUGGAUAAUAAUCGGGCAUUAAGUGUAUUACCGAAGCUGUGGAUUGUAUGUUUACAUACACUGGUAGGGGAGCAUUCUAUGGGCGUUGAAUGCGGAUGGUGAUGUCCGCUGGAGCGCAUAGAAAAGCAAAUGUAGGAAUAAGUAACGAUAAAGCAGGCGAGAAACCUGCUCACCGAUAGACUAAGGUUUCCUGAGCGACGCUAAUCGUCUCAGGGUUAGUCGGGACCUAACGCGAACCCGAAGGGGGUAGUGGAUGGACAAUGGGUUAAUAUUCCCAUACUUGUUAUAACUGCGAUGGGGUGACGGAGUAAUGAAAGGACCGCGCACUGACGGAAUAGUGCGUUAAAGGGUGUAGAUAUAAGGACGGUAGGCAAAUCCGCCGACCUUGUCGAACCUGAUAGUACUGCGAGGCUUCGGCUGAGUAGAUAGUGUCCCUAAGCGCUUCCAAGAAAAACCUCUAAGCUUCAGGUUAUAACAACUCGUACCGCAAACCAACACAGGUAGUCAAGGAGAGAAUCCUAAGGUGCUCGAGUGAUUCAUGGCUAAGGAACUAGGCAAAAUGGUCUCGUAACUUCGGGAGAAGAGACGCCAACAGCAAUGUUGGCCGCAGUAAAAAGGCCCAGGCAACUGUUUAUCAAAAACACAUGGCUUUGCAAAAUCGAAAGAUGACGUAUAAGGCCUGACACCUGCCCGGUGCUGGAAGGUUAAGAGGAGAUGUUAGUUUCGGCGAAGCAUUGAAUUGAAGCCCCAGUAAACGGCGGCCGUAACAAUAACGGUCCUAAGGUAGCGAAAUUCCUUGUCGGGUAAGUUCCGACCUGCACGAA
RNAcentral lists this ribosomal RNA (1958 nucleotides) under seawater metagenome. RNAcentral describes it as "bacterial LSU rRNA". It matches the Rfam family "Bacterial large subunit ribosomal RNA", at positions 1 to 1996 of the family's 2925-position model. The record is from RNAcentral.